CUCAACCCUGUCCCCAUCUGGGGCCUCUUUCUCUCUCCUCUGAGUCUCAGCUGAGUGGGACAAGCAAACAUGCUGCUGCUGGCAGCACUUGUGGCCACCGCUGCUUGGUCUGAUGUAUUUGCACAGGAAAUUCCCAUACAGACACCUGUAUCCAUCACCAAAUCGCAAGGAAGUACACGUCUGAAAUGUCAUUUUAAAGACGUCUCUCAAGAUUUUGAUAACACCAUCAUUCACUGGUACCAACAGAAGGUGAAUAAAGCUCCAGAGUGGAUGUUCUACAUUUCAACAGGGACAACAGCAGUGGAUGAGAGCUUCCAAGGACGCAUGUAUACAGUUGAAAGGAUUUCUAGACAGAAAAUUUGUACUCUUACAAUAAGCAAUAUAAUUCCAGAUGACACAGCUACCUACUAUUGUGCCUACUGGGUUGCUCACUAUGGCAGAAACCCAGCGAUCACCUCGACCAAUACUCCCUCGGUGGCUCAACCACAAAUGAUUUGA
Non-coding RNA from Oxyura jamaicensis (ruddy duck), 498 nucleotides. NCBI's taxonomy places the organism in Eukaryota, Metazoa, Chordata, Aves, Anseriformes, Anatidae. The record is from the annotation of a RefSeq genome assembly.